Molecule: ribosomal RNA, 450 nt
Filed under: uncultured bacterium
Lineage: Bacteria
Description: partial 16S ribosomal RNA
Rfam family: Bacterial small subunit ribosomal RNA
Source: RNAcentral
UUCCAGACUCCUACGGGAGGCAGCAGUGGGGGAUAUUGCACAAUGGGGGGAACCCUGAUGCAGCGACGCCGCGUGGGUGAAGGAGCGUUUCGGCGCGUAAAGCCCUAUCGGCAGGGAAGAAGGAGGACGGUACCUGACUAAGAAGCCCCGGCUAACUACGUGCCAGCAGCCGCGGUAAUACGUAUGGGGCAAGCGUUAUCCGGAUUUACUGGGUGUAAAGGGAGCGUAGGCGGCAGGGCAAGCCUGAUGUGAAAGCCCGGGGCUCAACCCCGGGACUGCAUUGGGAACUGCCCCGCUCGAGUGCCGGAGGGGCAGGCGGAAUUCCUAGUGUAGCGGUGAAAUGCGUAGAUAUUAGGAGGAACACCAGUGGCGAAGGCGGCCUGCUGGACGGUGUACUGACGCUGAGGCUCGAAAGCGUGGGGAGCAAACAGGAUUAGAUACCCCGGUAGC